This 1442-nucleotide ribosomal RNA is filed under the name Irodes sp. RAG-2020. RNAcentral describes it as "SSU rRNA". It matches the Rfam family "Eukaryotic small subunit ribosomal RNA", at positions 192 to 1649 of the family's 1831-position model. The record is from RNAcentral. Lineage: Eukaryota; Metazoa; Arthropoda; Copepoda; Poecilostomatoida; Taeniacanthidae.
CAUGUAGGGCUGCUUUUAUUAGUUUCUAAACCUACGCGCUGCUUCGGUGGCAAUCCCUUGGUGACUCUGAAUAACUUUUAGUGGAUCGCAUGGCCUUGCGCCGGCGACGUAUCCUUCCAAGGUGUGCCCUAUCAACUUUCGACUGUGGUAUAGACGCCCACAGUCGUUUUGACGGGUAACGGGGAAUUAGGGUUCGAUUCCGGAGAGGGAGCCUGAGAAACGGCUACCACAUCUAAGGAAGGCAGCAGGCACGCAAAUUACCCAAUGGUCGAAGACCGAGGUAGUGACGAAAAAUAACGAUACCGGACUCAUCCGAGGCCCGGUAAUCGGAAUGAGAACACUUUAAAUGCUUUAACGAGGAUCAAUUGGAGGGCAAGUCUGGUGCCAGCAGCCGCGGUAAUUCCUGCUCCAAUAGCGUAUAUUAAAGUUGUUGCGGUUAAAAAGCUCGUAGUUGGAUCUCGGCGGGCAGGGGGUGGUCGUCAAGCAUUGACGCACUGCUCUUCUUUGCCUGCGAUGGAGCUGUCUGUUGCCGGUGCUCUUCAUUGAUUGUCGGCUGGCGGACACCGGGUUUACUUUGAAAAAAUUAGAGUGCUCAAAGCAGGCUAGUCGUCUGAUUAUUCGUGCAUGGAAUAAUAGAAUAGGAGGUUGUUGCUUUUUUGUUGGUUUCGGUAAUGACCUAAUGAUUAAUAGGGACAGUCGGGGGCAUUAGUAAUCAAACGACAGAGGUGAAAUUCUUGGACCGUUUGAAGACUAACUACUGCGAAAGCAUUUGCCAAGAAUGUUUUCAUUAAUGAAGAACGAAAGUUAGAGGUUCGAAGGCGAUCAGAUACCGCCCUAGUUCUAACCAUAAACGAUGCCAGCUAGCGAUCCUUCGACGUUAUUUCAAUUAGGCUCGAGGGGAAGCUUCCGGCAAACCAAAGCUUGUGGGUUCCGGGGGAAGUAUGGUUGCAAAGCUGAAACUUAAAGGAAUUGACGGAAGGGCACCACCAGGAGUGGAGCCUGCGGCUUAUUUUGACUCAACACGGGAAACCUCACCAGGCCCGGACACUGGAAGGAUUGACAGAUUGAGAGCUCUUUCUCGAUUCGGUGGGUGGUGGUGCAUGGCGGUUCUUAGUUGGUGGAGUGAUUUGUCUGGUUAAUUCCGAUAACGAACGAGACUCUGUCCUGCUAAAUAGUCUCUGGGUUUUAGAUUGCCCAGAGUAUUCUUCUUAGAGGGACUGGCGGCGUCUAGCCGCACGAGAAUGAGCAAUAACAGGUCUGUGAUGCCCUUAGAUGUUCUGGGCUGCACACGCGCUUCACUGAAGGGAUCAACGUGUCCUCCCUUCCCGAGAGGGACGGGUAACCCGUUGAACCCCCUUCGUGGUAGGGAUUGGGCCUUGCAAUUAUUCCCCAUGAACCAGGAAUUCCCAGUAAGCGCAAGUCAUAAGGUUGCGUUGAUUACG